CUAUGUUGUAAAAGAAGACCUUUUUUAGAGGAGCACUGAUCCUGAGUGAGAUUGCUAAUCCUAUAAACUCGGAUCCAGUCAAGAAAUAUUUCGUUUAAAGAAGAAGAAAGGACCAAGGUGAAAACCCGCAAAGGGCACUUUGAGUCAGAAAAAUGUGAAAAAUGAAAAAAUGAAAAUGAAAAAUGAAAAAGUAAAAAUGGA
Molecule: long non-coding RNA, 201 nt
Filed under: Gossypium raimondii (Peruvian cotton)
Lineage: Eukaryota; Viridiplantae; Streptophyta; Magnoliopsida; Malvales; Malvaceae
Description: long non-coding RNA (GRAI_LNC000397)
Source: RNAcentral